Molecule: ribosomal RNA, 497 nt
Filed under: Veillonella parvula
Lineage: Bacteria; Bacillati; Bacillota; Negativicutes; Veillonellales; Veillonellaceae
Description: bacterial SSU rRNA
Rfam family: Bacterial small subunit ribosomal RNA
Source: RNAcentral
GACGAACGCUGGCGGCGUGCUUAACACAUGCAAGUCGAACGAAGAGCGACGGAAGCUUGCUUCUAUCAAUCUUAGUGGCGAACGGGUGAGUAACGCGUAAUCAACCUGCCCUUCAGAGGGGGACAACAGUUGGAAACGACUGCUAAUACCGCAUACGAUCUAAUCUCGGCAUCGAGGAUAGAUGAAAGGUGGCCUCUACAUGUAAGCUAUCACUGAAGGAGGGGAUUGCGUCUGAUUAGCUAGUUGGAGGGGUAACGGCCCACCAAGGCGAUGAUCAGUAGCCGGUCUGAGAGGAUGAACGGCCACAUUGGGACUGAGACACGGCCCAGACUCCUACGGGAGGCAGCAGUGGGGAAUCUUCCGCAAUGGACGAAAGUCUGACGGAGCAACGCCGCGUGAGUGAUGACGGCCUUCGGGUUGUAAAGCUCUGUUAAUCGGGACGAAAGGCCUUCUUGCGAAUAGUGAGAAGGAUUGACGGUACCGGAAUAGAAAGCCAC